AAUCAACGCUGGCGGCGUNCCUAACACAUGCAAGUCGAGCGCGAAAGGGGAGCAAUCCCCAAGUAGAGCGGCGAACACGGGUGAGUAACGCGUGGGUAAUCUACCUCCGAGUGGGGAACAACAGCGGGAAACUGCUGCUAAUACCGCAUGACAUCGUCGAGCUUUCGGGCAUGACGAUCAAAGCCGGGGACCGCAAGGCCUGGCGCUUGGAGACGAGCCCGCGUCCGAUUAGCUAGUUGGCGGGGUAAUGGCCCACCAAGGCUUCGAUCGGUAGCCGGCCUGAGAGGGCGGACGGCCACACUGGGACUGAGACACGGCCCAGACUCCUACGGGAGGCAGCAGUGGGGAAUUUUUCGCAAUGGGGGAAACCCUGACGAAGCAACGCCGCGUGGAGGAUGAAGGCCUUCGGGUCGUAAACUCCUGUCGACCGGGACGAACGCUAUAGGGCCCAAUACGCUCGAUAGUCGACUGUACCGGUGGAGGAAGCCACGGCUAACUCUGUGCCAGCAGCCGCGGUAAUACAGAGGUGGCAAGCGUUGUUCGGAAUUACUGGGCGUAAAGGGCGCGUAGGCGGUCCCGUCAGUCCCUUGUGAAAUCCCCCGGCUCAACUGGGGAACUGCAAGGGAUACAGCGGGGCUUGAGUUCGGGAGAGGGAAGCGGAAUUCCGGGUGUAGCGGUGA
This 680-nucleotide ribosomal RNA is filed under the name uncultured bacterium. Its description in RNAcentral is "bacterial SSU rRNA". It matches the Rfam family "Bacterial small subunit ribosomal RNA", at positions 28 to 684 of the family's 1533-position model. The record is from RNAcentral.